UCAACAGAGAGAAGCAAAACCGCGAGGUGGAGCAAAACUUCAAAAAUGGUCUCAGUUCGGACUGUAGGCUGCAACUCGCCUACACGAAGUUGGAAUUGCUAGUAAUCGUGGAUCAGCAUGCCACGGUGAAUACGUUCCCGGGUCUUGUACACACCGCCCGUCACACCAUGGGAGUCGGUAACACCCGAAGUCAGUAGUCUAACCGCAAGGAGGACGCUGCCGAAGGUGGGAUUGACGACUGGGGUGAAGUCGUAACAAGGUAGC
RNAcentral lists this ribosomal RNA (264 nucleotides) under uncultured bacterium. RNAcentral's name for it is "partial 16S ribosomal RNA". It matches the Rfam family "Bacterial small subunit ribosomal RNA", at positions 1235 to 1500 of the family's 1533-position model. The record is from RNAcentral.